This 717-nucleotide unclassified non-coding RNA is filed under the name Limulus polyphemus (Atlantic horseshoe crab). Its description in RNAcentral is "uncharacterized LOC106471640, transcript variant X1". Lineage: Eukaryota; Metazoa; Arthropoda; Merostomata; Xiphosura; Limulidae. The record is from RNAcentral.
CUGUUACAGCAAGCACAUACAUGGGUCUUUAUCAGCCAGUGUUCAUCAGCAUAAGCUCAGGAAAGUUAAAAUAUUCUUAGGUCACCCUGUCAGUGAAGAAUCUCAGACUCACUCCUGAAAGUAACAGGAAAUGAACAACAUUAGUGAGCAAUCUAUACUGACUUCAGCUGAUAGGAUCUAACACUCAGCGGAUGGCGUGAGAAGAAAUGAAUAAAAUAUUUGUUUGUUGUUGAGCAAAGCUUCACACUGGACUGUCUGUGCUGUCCCAACCGCAGGAACAUGUAGGUUUGACGACAAGUGAAAGUAUAAUGAUUUAUUUAACCUUAAGAAAAGGCGUGAAAAAAAUGAUAAGAUCAACAACAAGAAGAAAAAAAAACCCUUCUAAAAUCCUGUUAGACAAUUUCAGAAUCGUGUUGUUGAUUUACCUCUGUAAAAUUCGUUAGUUAGUUAACGGGCUCCUUUCCCUGCGACAACCCACCUUCUCCACUGACUGCAUUUCCUGACCUUUGUUCUGCUUCGUUCAAAGUGGCACCCCCAUUUAUUCGGGUCAUCUUCAACGGUUAACCUUCAUGUUUUUUUUUUACCUGUCUCAUUUUCGUUUCAGAUGAAAUCAAUUCAAUUAUCUUCUUGAUCAUUUUGUGAAAUAUGUUGUACAAUUUUGAAAGUUUGAGUCCAAGUCUUUGAUACUAUUGAACAUCCGGGAAUGAAAAUCUACAA